UCUGGUUCUUGGAUGUUUAUAGCUCUGGGGUUAGUAUUUAAAAAGGUUUGUACAUUGUAGAUAUUUUCUAUAUAUGUCCGGGCUGUGUAGUUGUAAGUCUUUUUGUCUUGGUUUAAACUAUCUCGGUAUGUGGUAAUUUGUAGGGGUAUAAACAUGGGAUCUUUUGAUGUAUUUGGUAUAUAUGGUUUAUCAAAUAGCUUGUUUAGGUUCAUAUUUGUGUUUUUCCUAACUCCUUUG
This 237-nucleotide long non-coding RNA is filed under the name Capsicum annuum. Its description in RNAcentral is "long non-coding RNA (CANN_LNC011990)". Lineage: Eukaryota; Viridiplantae; Streptophyta; Magnoliopsida; Solanales; Solanaceae. The record is from RNAcentral.